UACCGGUUUGAACAAGUUACUCAUUCAAGGAAAUACAAUGCUUAAAUAAAAUUGUAUUAGAGUUGAAGUGAAACUGGAAGAAUGAACUCAGAGCUACAUGUAUUUGUCUGUGAUUUUAAUGUUUGUUUUUGCUGUUGGACUCGAAACUCUUCGAGUCCAUGGCCCCUCAGAUCCACUUGUGGCCCAGGUAAGAGGAUCAGUUCUCCUGCCAUGCUUUAUUGAAGGUUCACUGCCUUUAGAAGAUCUCCAGGUAGAAUGGAGAAAGCUGGAUACAGAUUCUGUAGUGAGCCUCUUCCAGCAAGGAAAAAGCAGACCAGAUCUCCAGACUCAAAUGUUUAGAGACAGAGCUGACUUUUUUCCAGAUGAGGUCUCAAAAGGGAAUUUCUCCAUCUUACUGAAAAAUGUGGUAAAAGAUGAUGCUGGCAUUUAUAGAUGCCAAAUCAACACAACCCAGGACACUGGUCAAGUUAUAAUGGAAAUGAAAGCGAUCGAGCAUUUUGUGGUGACAGGGGCAGACCAUGCUGUCUUUGCCCAUGAGGGUGAGGAUGUCAUACUGAACUGCUCUGUAGAUUCCCAUGUACCAGCCAGUGAGAUUGAAGAAGUGACCUGGAAGAAGACAAAUGUAGACCAAGACAUUCUUGUCCUGCUUUAUCAAAACGGUGAAAUCUUCCCAGACUCCUCACAUGAGAGUUAUCAGGGAAGAGUUGAUUUGUUUCUUUCUGAAAUCACCAAAGGAAACUUCUCACUAAAGCUGAAGGUGGUGAAUAUGGAAGAUGAAGGAGAAUUCACAUGUGAGGUCCACACUAGUGACAUGUCAGCUCGUGCCACUGUGGUACUGCAUGGUGUAGAGCAUUUUGUGGUGAAAGGGGCAGACCAUGCUGUCUUUGCCCAUAAGGGUGAGGAUGUCAUACUGAACUGCUCUGUAGAUUCUCAUGUACCAGCCAGUGAGAUUGAAGAAGUGACCUGGAAGAAGACAGAUGGAGACCAAGACAUCCUUGUCCUGCUUUAUCAAAACAGUGAAAUAUUCCGAGAUUCCUCACAUGAGAGUUAUCAAGGAAGAGUAGAUUUAUUUUCUUCUGAAAUCUUUAAAGGAAACUUCUCACUAACGCUGAAAGAUGUAAAGAUGGAAGAUAAAGGAGAAUUUACAUGUGAGGUCCACACUAGUGGUAUGUCAGCAAGGACCACUGUGGUACUGCAUGGUGUAGGUUUCUCUGCUCCCCAUAAACUAAUCUUAGUGUUUUGCUUGAUUGCACUAUUGCUGGCAGUAGGAUGUUGUGGUCCUGUCUUUAACCUCCUGAGAAAGAAAGUUUCUACCAAAAAGGCCAUGAUAAUUCACAUUUCUCUGAUCCUCUCUUGAACAUCUGCAUGUUUGUUGCUUUCUGCUUGUGGUCAACAGAAGGGUUUAUCGCAGAAGUUGUCACUUGUUCAACUGUCAGUAUCAUGAGAAUCAUCAUCCUGAUGAAAACCUCUUUGUAUUUUCACAGAUUUCCACAGGUUUUAAAAAAAGUAGCAAAGAACUUGGCUUUUCCACUUUACCAUUCAAGUUUAAUAUUGGGUGCAUGUUUGUAUUUGUUUAAUGGCCAGAUACAGACCACAGAAGAAAAACUGAAUGCAUUUCUAACAGCCACAGCAGUGGUGCUUGUCAUCUGUGCUGUUGUAAUAGCUGUUUAUGAUUUCCGGAUGCAUCUGACUCUGUGUCUAGAAGCAGUAAACGCAACAGUGUUAGCACUCAGUAUCAGUCUCAGUCCCAAUGGAAACUAUGACUUUGAGGCAGCUUUGGUACUGCUAACACUAGCUGCUGGGACUGUGAUUGUACUCUCUCUACAAAGGCACCUUUUUCUAAAAAAAUCUUUUGGAUGUGUGCAUAUCACUUUUUCAUCUCUUUUAUUGGCUGCAUUUAUUUUGUUUAAAAUAGUAGCUUAUGUAAUGUACUCCAUUGCAAAAAACAGUUUUGUUAAAGGAUGGAUAAGUCUAUUUCUGGUUGUGUUAAUUAUAUGUGCAUGGCUAGUAGUAAUUUAUCUAUUGCGUUGUCACCGUGGACACGGACAUGGAUGCUGCUCUCAAUGGAGGAAAAUAGGAUAUUUGUGCUGUACUCUCAUUGCUGCAUUAUUAUUCACUACAAAUGGCAUGAUGAGCUUUUAUUAUGCAUACAUCAUCUUGCAAAUUAAAGAACUUGCAGGAUUUUUGGCUCUGAUACCACUGCUCUCUGUUUUGCCACCAAUAUGUUUGUUCAAACAUCCCAAACAUUUACCUGAGGUCUUUCACAUUAUGGUCUACAUGUUUGGAGCUGUAGGUCUUAGUGCUGUAAAUGCAAUCGUUCUUGCCACAGAACUGAUCCUGAAAGCAGGGAAAGGAGCACGGACUAUAGAAGAUCUCCGUGUGAUAGUUUUACCCUUGAAACAGUGUUUGUCUUUGCUUGGCUCACCUUGCAGAUCUAUGAUGCCUGGAUGAGAUACAAGGACGGAGCACUAUAUCUUUAUGAAGAUACGAGAAGAACAGGACCCGAGGUUGAAAUGAAAGCUCUCCAAGAGAAUAUUCCGAACCCUGACUGAUUUGUGGUGAUCUGUAAAAUAUAGACACCAGAUUAUAAAAUCCCAGAAGUAUCAUUCUUUACACUUUGUGAGACGAUUGUUUGUGUUUCUUAUAAAAGCUACCUUUGAGUUUCUACAGCACAUGUUCAACAGAGUCUGUAUUAAAGAAACAUCAUGUUGUUACUUCAGUGUAACCGAUAUAUUAAUAUAUAAUGUAUGGUCAGGGAAACUUGAGUCGGAAGCUUAAUUGCUUGAGAAACAGUCACAUGCUAGUAUUGUUUAU
Molecule: RNA transcript, 2814 nt
Organism: Silurus meridionalis
Lineage: Eukaryota; Metazoa; Chordata; Actinopteri; Siluriformes; Siluridae
Exons: 20
Source: RefSeq, a predicted model, not a curated record